Long non-coding RNA from Taeniopygia guttata (zebra finch), 2975 nucleotides. RefSeq lists it as uncharacterized. Lineage: Eukaryota; Metazoa; Chordata; Aves; Passeriformes; Estrildidae. The record is from RefSeq and is a predicted model, not a curated record.
CCGCCCCGGCGGCGCGCGGGAGGCGGUGCCCGGUGCCGCCCCCCUCAGCCCGGCGCCAUCUUGGCGCUGUAGCAAAGGUGCUGCUGCUUUCGGCAUGCUGUGGUCACCUCUGGUGCUAUCCCCUGCGAACCGGGCUCGGGCGGCAGGACAGGCGAGAGGAGCUGCCUGGUUUAGCCUAGGGAGGGGAGGGCUGAGAGGGGAUCUCGUUUAUGCACGUCCUGUGAGGAGCGGCUGAGGGCGCAUCUCAGCCUGGCGAAAAGGAGGGACCUUAACGCUUCUACAACUACAGGCGGGUGGAGCCUGGUGUGAGUCAGGCUCUUCUCCCUCGGAGCCAGCCACACAACGAUAGGGCAUAGCCUUAAGCUGCUCCAGGGCAGCUUUAGGUUGGACAUCAGGGAAAAUCUCUUCUCAGAGAGGAUGCCUCGACAUUGGAACAGGCUGCCCAGGGAGGUGGUGCAGUCACGGUUCCUCUCGGUCUUUGAAGAAAAACUGGACGUGGCACUGAGUGCCAUGGUCUGGUUGACGUGGUGUUUGGUCAGUUUGAACUCUAUGAUCUCAGAGGUCUUUUCUAAACCAGUGUAAUUCUGUAAUGCAGAAUAAAUGCCUCAAAUAGAAUAUAAGCAUCUCAAAGUCAGGUACCAAGAGGACGGUGCCAGAAUCUUUUCAGUUGUGCCCUGUGGCAGGAUGAGGAGCAAUGGGAAUAGACUAAAGUACAAGGAACUUCACCUCAGCACGAGGAAGAGCUUUCCACUGGGGGUGGAACAGGGAGGGUGUGGGGUCAGCCUCCCUGAAAAUGUUCCAAACCCACCUGGACACGUUCCUGUGUUGCUGCUCCAGGUGACCCUGCCUCGGAAGGGGUUUGGACAAAGCGAUGUCCAGAGCUCCCUUCCAACCAUGACAAUUCCAUGAUUCUGUGAGGCAGCUGCCAGAAAAGGGGGAACCUCCUGCAGCCGGGGCUGGAGGACCUAUCCCGCAGCCAUCCCUGCUCCAGCGCCCACCCUGGGGGAGACAAGGGCGUGACUGGGGGGAAAAGUGAUGGAGGAACGUAUGUUUGUUCUUAUGUUUUGUUCUUGUGUUAAAUAGAACAGAAAUAGAGUAUGGUGUGUGGAGUUCCUCUACGAGAGGCAGGAGGUGAAGCCAGGACAUCCUCCGUGCUCCCAGGCUUUGUGAGGGACUGGCACAGCGCAGCCAAAAAUGCAUAAGGACUCCUUAGUAGACAUUUUACAGCAACGAGGACAGGACAGUUUGUAGGGAGUGCUGUUCCUUCCCAACAACAGUUGAUGUCAAGUGCUCUGAUGAUAACAUUUUGAACAGAACACUUCACUUGAGCUUUUCUAAAACACCAUUAUGACUGUGACUGUGUGUACUGGUAACUUGCUGAGGCAGGUACUCAAAUAUUGAAAGGCCAAAAAACACAGUCUCUCAGUCUGGAAAUCUUUUCCUGUUGUACCUUGUGUAACUGGGUAAUAACAAAAAAAUCUUUUAGACUUACAGUGAAAAGGAAGCAAAUCAGUGUUGACAACAGUGUACAAAAUCUGCUUUACCUCUCCCAAGAUGCGUGUGGAAAUUGUGUCACAGUAAUCCUCACUGGCAACUGUAUUUUGCAUUUACUGCAUCUGAUUUGGAACCCUAAGUUGGAAGCCAAAUUUCAUGAGAAAGGAAAUCUUCCUCCACGUCCCUCUCACACUGAAUAUGUAACACAGAAGAGAAAGCGGACCUGCUGUGCACAAAGCUGAGUGUCUGGCUGAGCUAACAAACUCAGAGCUGCCCUGACUCCAUCAGUGUCAGCACGUCCUGAUCCCAAGGUGAAAAGGUACAAACUUUCUGCUAUUUAGGGAUUACACUCAAAGUUUUUAUUCACUGCAGUCUUAGAUAAGUCUUUUCUUUUCAAAAUAAGCUUAAUAAGUCUAAAACUCCUCUCAGCAUGCUAAUUUAGUCAUUUCAUGGUUAUAGCCCUGAUUAGAGCCAGGUCCAUCUUUAGAUUCCUAUUUCUUGCAAGGAUGCACAAAGACAACGCACUAGAAGAUUUCAGUAAUCACAGCAGAUUAAGAGAGCUAAGAUAUGUGCUUCAAACAGCCCACCUGGAAUUUUUACACCAUCAGAAUACAAAGCAAUGAUGAAGAUUAUGCAACAAAUAAGACAAAGACAAGAAAAUAAGAUUCUCUUUAUAAAUAAGAGAGACAGAGAUUUUUCUGUAAGUUUUGAUUUAAAGUAAAUCUUUCUGUAAAAUUGAAUUGUUAAUUUUGAGUUUGAGAAUUUUACCAGGAUACUUUUGCUCACUGACAAAAGGGGUUUAUAUCAUUGUAUUAUCAACUAUUCCAACUCAGUGAAAACUCCCUAUUUUCUGUUUUAAGAUUGAAAUUCUUCUACAAGGAAUUUUUUGUGUCCUUGGGUGGGUCCUAUCUGAAAUACAAACUGAGGUACAGUCCUGGCUAGAGGCUCCAUCCCAUCAUGCUUGUUGUUCUACAGAGGAAUGAAGAAGACAUGCUUAGGCAGUGAUGCAUUUCAGUGCAUUAUCAACUAAUGAUUUAUGGUUAAGACUUUAAGCUAAAUUCUAGCAAACAUUUUAUUAAUAUUUUCAAUGCUGAAAUGGGAAAUGUCACAAUAUGAGUAGGCCAGUGUGCUAGAGAAGCACAUUAUGAGGAGAUGAAAAUCCUUUGAAGAUCUGGGAGACAGUACCAGUGCAGAGUGAUAAGGUGAAAUUUUAAAUGAUGUUUGAGUGAAUAAUUUUGGUGAUUCUGCUUCAACAGCAAUACUACUAAAGUGAGCCACAACUCAUCAGACAAUCCUCAUAUAACUUGGUACUUUAAAACAUUCAAAUAGAAACCACACACACAUUUUAGUUAACUAAAAAUAUACCUUGUCCAGGGACAAAAGGUCUAGAAAACUGGGACACAAUAGAAAGAGGUGUCAGUGUGGGACGGAUGUUCUUCAUGUUUGACAGCUGGGCUGGUGCUGGUGAUUGGGCCGGUGAG